GAUGAACGCUGGCGGCGUGCCUAAUACAUGCAAGUAGAACGCUGAAGGAGGAGCUUGCUCUUCUGGAUGAGUUGCGAACGGGUGAGUAACGCGUAGGUAACCUGCCUGGUAGCGGGGGAUAACUAUUGGAAACGAUAGCUAAUACCGCAUGACAACAGUUAUUGCAUGAUAACUGUUUAAAAGGGGCAACUGCUCCACUACCAGAUGGACCUGCGUUGUAUUAGCUAGUUGGUGAGGUAACGGCUCACCAAGGCGACGAUACAUAGCCGACCUGAGAGGGGGAUCGGCCACACUGGGACUGAGACACGGCCCAGACUCCUAAGGGAGGCAGCAGUAGGGAAACUUCGGCAAUGGACGGAAGUCUGACCGGGCAACGCCGCGUGAGUGAAGAAGGUUUUCGGAUCGUAAAGCUCUGUUGUAAGAGAAGAAAGAGUGUGAGAGUGGAAAGUUCACACUGUGACGGUAUCUUACCAGAAAGGGACGGCUAACUACGUG
This 495-nucleotide ribosomal RNA is filed under the name uncultured bacterium. Its description in RNAcentral is "partial 16S ribosomal RNA". It matches the Rfam family "Bacterial small subunit ribosomal RNA", at positions 28 to 507 of the family's 1533-position model. The record is from RNAcentral.